RNAcentral lists this unclassified non-coding RNA (282 nucleotides) under plant metagenome. RNAcentral's name for it is "partial contains small subunit ribosomal RNA, internal transcribed spacer 1, and 5.8S ribosomal RNA". The record is from RNAcentral.
UUUCCGUAGGUGAACCUGCGGAAGGAUCAUUAUUGUAUAACCGAGGUGCGAGGGCUGUCGCUGACCCGAAAGGUCGUGCACGCCCGAGUGCCCUCACACACAUCCAUCUCACCCCUAUGUGCACCACCGCGUGGGUCCCCCUUUGGCUUGUUCGGAGGGGGGCUUACGUUUUCACACAAACUUUGUAUGCAGUGUAGAAUGUAUUUUUUGUUUUUGCGAUCACGCAAUCAAUACAACUUUCAACAACGGAUCUCUUGGCUCUCGCAUCGAUAAAGACGCAGC